Molecule: ribosomal RNA, 1399 nt
Filed under: Klebsiella sp. ICB510
Lineage: Bacteria; Pseudomonadati; Pseudomonadota; Gammaproteobacteria; Enterobacterales; Enterobacteriaceae
Description: bacterial SSU rRNA
Rfam family: Bacterial small subunit ribosomal RNA
Source: RNAcentral
CUAACACAUGCAAGUCGAGCGGUAGCACAGAGAGCUUGCUCUCGGGUGACGAGCGGCGGACGGGUGAGUAAUGUCUGGGAAACUGCCUGAUGGAGGGGGAUAACUACUGGAAACGGUAGCUAAUACCGCAUAACGUCGCAAGACCAAAGUGGGGGACCUUCGGGCCUCAUGCCAUCAGAUGUGCCCAGAUGGGAUUAGCUAGUAGGUGGGGUAACGGCUCACCUAGGCGACGAUCCCUAGCUGGUCUGAGAGGAUGACCAGCCACACUGGAACUGAGACACGGUCCAGACUCCUACGGGAGGCAGCAGUGGGGAAUAUUGCACAAUGGGCGCAAGCCUGAUGCAGCCAUGCCGCGUGUGUGAAGAAGGCCUUCGGGUUGUAAAGCACUUUCAGCGGGGAGGAAGGCGGUGAGGUUAAUAACCUCAUCGAUUGACGUUACCCGCAGAAGAAGCACCGGCUAACUCCGUGCCAGCAGCCGCGGUAAUACGGAGGGUGCAAGCGUUAAUCGGAAUUACUGGGCGUAAAGCGCACGCAGGCGGUCUGUCAAGUCGGAUGUGAAAUCCCCGGGCUCAACCUGGGAACUGCAUUCGAAACUGGCAGGCUAGAGUCUUGUAGAGGGGGGUAGAAUUCCAGGUGUAGCGGUGAAAUGCGUAGAGAUCUGGAGGAAUACCGGUGGCGAAGGCGGCCCCCUGGACAAAGACUGACGCUCAGGUGCGAAAGCGUGGGGAGCAAACAGGAUUAGAUACCCUGGUAGUCCACGCUGUAAACGAUGUCGAUUUGGAGGUUGUGCCCUUGAGGCGUGGCUUCCGGAGCUAACGCGUUAAAUCGACCGCCUGGGGAGUACGGCCGCAAGGUUAAAACUCAAAUGAAUUGACGGGGGCCCGCACAAGCGGUGGAGCAUGUGGUUUAAUUCGAUGCAACGCGAAGAACCUUACCUGGUCUUGACAUCCACAGAACUUUCCAGAGAUGGAUUGGUGCCUUCGGGAACUGUGAGACAGGUGCUGCAUGGCUGUCGUCAGCUCGUGUUGUGAAAUGUUGGGUUAAGUCCCGCAACGAGCGCAACCCUUAUCCUUUGUUGCCAGCGGUUAGGCCGGGAACUCAAAGGAGACUGCCAGUGAUAAACUGGAGGAAGGUGGGGAUGACGUCAAGUCAUCAUGGCCCUUACGACCAGGGCUACACACGUGCUACAAUGGCAUAUACAAAGAGAAGCGACCUCGCGAGAGCAAGCGGACCUCAUAAAGUAUGUCGUAGUCCGGAUUGGAGUCUGCAACUCGACUCCAUGAAGUCGGAAUCGCUAGUAAUCGUAGAUCAGAAUGCUACGGUGAAUACGUUCCCGGGCCUUGUACACACCGCCCGUCACACCAUGGGAGUGGGUUGCAAAAGAAGUAGGUAGCUUAAC